GAAAUUCCUUGUCGGGUAAGUUCCGACCCGCACGAAAGGCGUAACGAUCUGGGCACUGUCUCAACGAGAGACUCGGUGAAAUUAUAGUACCUGUGAAGAUGCAGGUUACCCGCGACAGGACGGAAAGACCCCGUGGAGCUUUACUGCAGCCUGAUAUUGAAUGUGGGUACAGCUUGUACAGGAUAGGUAGGAGCCAGAGACGCGUGAGCGCCAGCUUGCGCUGAGGCGACGGUGGGAUACUACCCUGGCUGUACUGACAUUCUAACCCGCGCCCCUGAUCGGGGCGGGAGACAGUGUCAGGUGGGCAGUUUGACUGGGGCGGUCGCCUCCUAAAAGGUAACGGAGGCGCCCAAAGGUUCCCUCAGAAUGGUUGGAAAUCAUUCGGAGAGUGCAAAGGCAGAAGGGAGCUUGACUGCGAGACCUACAAGUCGAGCAGGGACGAAAGUCGGGCUUAGUGAUCCGGUGGUUCCGCAUGGAAGGGCCAUCGCUCAACGGAUAAAAGCUACCCCGGGGAUAAC
Molecule: ribosomal RNA, 518 nt
Filed under: Aeribacillus pallidus
Lineage: Bacteria; Bacillati; Bacillota; Bacilli; Caryophanales; Bacillaceae
Description: partial 23S ribosomal RNA
Rfam family: Bacterial large subunit ribosomal RNA
Source: RNAcentral